Bombyx mori (domestic silkworm) is the source of this 3082-nucleotide RNA transcript. RefSeq lists it as uncharacterized. The record is from RefSeq and is a predicted model, not a curated record. The transcript has 2 exons. Lineage: Eukaryota; Metazoa; Arthropoda; Insecta; Lepidoptera; Bombycidae.
GGCAGAAAUAGGCAGGGUGGUGCUACCUACUCGAGCAAACUCAAAAGACGUCCUACCACCAGUAAUUACGCAAAUUAUAAUUUUGCGGGUUUGAUUUUUAUUACACGAUGUUAUUCCUUCACCUUGGAAGUCAAUCUGAUGUCACUACGGAAGGCAGUGAUAAUGUAGACACAGCCCACUGAGUUUCUCGCCGGAUCUUCUCGGUGGGUCGCGUUUCUGAUCCGGUGGUAGAUUCUGCGAAGCACUGCUCUUGCUAGGGCCAGUGUUAGCAACACUCCCAGUUUGAGCCCCGUGAGCUCACUUACUAGCUCGCUGAAUCUAGAAUAACCCCUCGAGGUUACUAAAAUAGGCAGGAAAAAAAAUUGGUCGCGCAGUCGAAAAAAGCUUUCGCCCGUAGUUUGUAGAUAUUUAUUACAUUACAUAAAUAUUACUCUAUAUUUUCGUUUGAUUAUUUUUGUUCUGGAUCACGCUUGUAUUUUCUGGUAUAACGAGCGUUCGUAAUCUUGGAGCGGUUUCAUUUUUUUUAUUGCCUUUUUAGGCAGACAAGCGUACGGCCCACCUAAUGCUAAGUGGUUACCGUCGCCCAUGAACUUCAGCAAUGGCAGGAGCAGAGCCAAGCCGCUGCCUAUCGUAAAAGUCAUAACACGUUUCACAAAAAAUUGAAUAUUUGUAAAAUCAUUAAAGUAUCAAUAAAACAAAUAAGUAUCAAUAAUACUACUAUGUAGUUAACUCAAGCUGAUACAAACUUAAAUUUCGGCUCAUUGUCACGUAACGGGUGGCACUGCAUUUAUUGGUCAAACACAUUAUAACGCCAUGUUUGACUGACCUAGUAGAAAGAUUGCCGCCUUUGGAACCACUCUGACUUAAGGUUAAAUUUACAAAGACCAGGAAGCUAUGGGUACACAAUUUACGCCAAAUUAACAACGCUAUAGUCAGCGUCAAAUUUGCAAUUGCAAAAUCAUGAUAAAUGGGCACUACACAUUUUCAAUUUAGGAGAGUUGACACAAAAUCGAAUUCCAAAAUAAGUUUUGGAAUUUGUAAAACUAAAUAUGUAGGUAGGUAUUGCUAUAAAGAUUAAUACGCAGCUAAUACAUAAAUAACACAACGCGUCGCCGCGUUGUUUUAAACAACUGCAUCACAUUCCGUCAUCCAGAUAAGGCUACGCCUCGGUAUUGCUCAAUACACAAGGUUUUGCUAUUCGUUGUCCGUCGUAGUUUCACUGCUUCACGUCGUCAUCAGUACAGUAGUAGAACCGAGCGGGGCAGGCCGGCUUUAGUUAAAAUUUUCGUGCUACGCUAACGUGGAAAACCGAAAAUGGGCAACGUGUUGUUUUCCAUAAUCUGGUUAAUCAUUUUGAUAUUCAUUGCCUUCUGGGUAGCUGGAAUAGCGGCUGGCAUCUACAUUAUUGUACUUCCGUUCACAGUGUGCAUAGAGGCGUUAUCUGUAAGUAUUAUUUUUAGUUUGAAAAUUGUAAGUAGUUACCAGGAUAAUAAGUACAAAUUUUUGCAUUAACUGGGUACACACAAAUCAUUGGUUGCGUUUUAGUUGCCAACCAUAAGAACGAAUUACUAAUCAUCUCAUAUUUUUAAAAUGUAUAAUAUCAGUUUUAUUAAACGAGACUAAAGAAUGACGCCACUUCGUGACCAUGAGCUCAAUUCUCAUCGCCAAUAUACAUACAUUCAAACUUCCUAACUACUUCCAACUACUUGUUUCUCUAUUUAGGUGUUACUGUAUAUGGUACUUAUUAAUUUGCUUAUCACAAAACUUUGUUUUUAACUCUAUUUCCGUUUUAAUAACUGUUAACUAUAAAAAAACAUACUAAAGACCUGGCUAAGUUUAAUUAUAAAAUUGUUUUUUAAAAUACAUAUAUUAUUAUCAGAAGUUAUGGUGUACCAUACUACAUAGAUAAAUUUAUUGGUUUUAUGUUGUGUAUGACCAUACUAUAACAAAGUACCGUUUUCUUACUUUUUUUUUGUAUUUCAGGGUUUAGCAGAUUUCCUAUUAUCAGUGGUUCAAUUCCCGAAGUAUUGCGCGCAGGCCAUGAUGGAAGGAAGAGGAUUUAAUUAAUUUAGACAUAAUUUUUGUAGUUAACGUAUCGUAUAUCGAUAUCAUUAUAGUAAACUUUAAUUAUGGUGCCAUCUAUGUACUCAAACCUUUUUGGUUUGUUAUUUACUCUCCGUUUUAGCGGGAAAUUUUCACUCAGAUAUGGUGUACCAGUGUUGCACUCUACAACAUAAGUACCGUACUACAGAAAACAAAUUGUUUUACCUAGCAAUUACGGAUCAUUAUGAGGAAAGAGAAUACUGCCCUUUGGAAAGUCACUUAUUCUAAUUUAAUCAGUACCUAUCUCAUUUGCUCUAAGAUGUGAUUUAUAUAUGUGCACAAUCGAAUCACAGAUAUAAUUAAAAUUACUAUUACGGUCUGUCCCCCGCGUGACCGCGAAAAUUGUAAAGUACCUAGAUAAUGCACUUAAUAUUCUUUAACGUAUUCCAAACCAUAAAAGUAGGUGGGAUUAUGUUUACCGAGUUUUUUUUAUCGAUAAUAAGAGACAAAAGGCAGUUAAUUAUACAGUUUAGCCCUAAUAAAUAAAAACUGUCUAGUUGCUAAGUCAACCCAGGGCAAGAAAAUUGCAAACAAUUGAAAUAAACACCCAACUGAAGAAUGAGUAAAUAUAUGUCAAAAAUAACAUUUUAUAAAUACAAUUUCUAAAUAAAUGUCACCGAUUUUUUAUAGUGAUACAAAUUUCGUCUAUAUCUUCUUUGUAAUAAUUAUUUAUUUUAUCGUUUUUAAGUUCAUUCGUAUGACCGGGCUGUUAUUACUGUUUUAAAAGUAUAGUAAGUGCGUUUUUUUACUUAAAAUGUAAGUAAGGUAAAAGAACAGCGCUCAUGAUAAAAUAGUUAAAUGAAAGUAACCGGUAGAAUCUUUAAGCACCUGAAAUGAUAAUUAUCUUAUACGUGAUAUGUGUAUUCCAUGUGUUAGGUACGUAUGUAGGAACUCCAAUUAAUAAUAAACCAGCUCCACUGAGAUUAGAUCCACAUCUUCAGAUAUAAUAUUAUUACCAUUAAAAAUCAUUAUUAUUAAA